UACGGAGGGCGCGAGCGUUGUCCGGAAUCACUGGGCGUAAAGGGCGCGUAGGUGGCGGCAUAAGGCUGUGGUGAAAGUCCGGGGCUCAACUCCGGAUCGGCCGUGGCAACUGUGUCGCUUGGGUACCGUAGAGGCAGAUGGAAUUCCUGGUGUAGCGGUGGAAUGCGCAGAUAUCAGGAGGAACACCGGUGGCGAAGGCGGGUCUCUGGGCAGUAACUGACGCUGAGGAGCGAAAGCGUGGGGAGCGAACAGG
Molecule: ribosomal RNA, 253 nt
Filed under: uncultured bacterium
Lineage: Bacteria
Description: partial 16S ribosomal RNA
Rfam family: Bacterial small subunit ribosomal RNA
Source: RNAcentral